Thalassophryne amazonica is the source of this 96-nucleotide long non-coding RNA. RefSeq lists it as uncharacterized. The record is from RefSeq and is a predicted model, not a curated record. Lineage: Eukaryota; Metazoa; Chordata; Actinopteri; Batrachoidiformes; Batrachoididae. The transcript has 3 exons.
AAAUUAAACACUGCAACGAUCUACGACACACAAGUUAGCUUAGCGCCUCACUGCACUGAAAGGACAUACGUCAUUGUUUAAUUUUGUGGUGCAACA